This 330-nucleotide microRNA precursor is filed under the name Panax ginseng (ginseng). RNAcentral's name for it is "miR6141 stem-loop (pgi-MIR6141)". The record is from miRBase by way of RNAcentral. Lineage: Eukaryota; Viridiplantae; Streptophyta; Magnoliopsida; Apiales; Araliaceae.
AAUUCUCUCGGAACAAUUCCGAAUUUACAACUCAUCAAUUGAUAAUUCAAUGGUUCUGACUCCCAUUGCGUGCGAGCCCAAUUAACUAAAUCUGGCCUGUAGCGGACCAGCUUAAAGGAAUUUUUUCCAUUUUUGGAUCUGUGAUUGAUCCUACGGAUUCUAGAAUUUUCUAUAGGUAUAAUCCGUAGUAUCAAUCACAGAUUCAAAAAAUGGCUUCUAGGCUGGUCCGNUAUUGGUCAUAUUUAGUAAUUGGUCUCCACGUAAUGGGAGCCAGAACCAUUGGAUUGACCAAUUGAUGAGUUGUAAAUUCGAAUUUGUUCCGAGAGAAUU